GACGGGGGGGGCAAGUGUUCUUCGGAAUUACUGGGCGUAAAGCGUGCGCAGGCGGCUCCUUAAGUCAGAUGUGAAAGCCCCGGGCUUAACCUGGGAACUGCGUUUGAAACUGGGGAGCUAGAGUGUGGAAGAGGGGGGUGGAAUUCCAGGUGUAGCAGUGAAAUGCGUAGAGAUCUGGAGGAACACCGAUGGCGAAGGCAGCCCCCUGGGCUAACACUGACGCUCAUGCACGAAAGCGUGGGGAGCAAACAGG
RNAcentral lists this ribosomal RNA (253 nucleotides) under uncultured bacterium. RNAcentral's name for it is "partial 16S ribosomal RNA". It matches the Rfam family "Bacterial small subunit ribosomal RNA", at positions 524 to 776 of the family's 1533-position model. The record is from RNAcentral.